This 69-nucleotide transfer RNA is filed under the name Ictidomys tridecemlineatus (thirteen-lined ground squirrel). RNAcentral's name for it is "Spermophilus tridecemlineatus (thirteen-lined ground squirrel) tRNA". It matches the Rfam family "tRNA". From Rfam's summary of the family: Transfer RNA (tRNA) molecules are approximately 80 nucleotides in length. Their secondary structure includes four short double-helical elements and three loops (D, anti-codon, and T loops). The record is from Rfam by way of RNAcentral. Lineage: Eukaryota; Metazoa; Chordata; Mammalia; Rodentia; Sciuridae.
GGGGUUGUAGCUUAGUGGUAGAGCACUUGCCUGGCAUGUGUGAGGCACUGGGUUCGAUUCUCAGCACCA